Molecule: long non-coding RNA, 1519 nt
Filed under: Oryctolagus cuniculus (rabbit)
Lineage: Eukaryota; Metazoa; Chordata; Mammalia; Lagomorpha; Leporidae
Description: lncRNA (ENSOCUG00000032081.1)
Source: RNAcentral
ACGGAGCGGCCAGUCCCUCGGGGCUGGUCUUUUACUCGCAGUCAGUGACGCGUGAAUUGUAUCAACAGCGGCUUCGGGUCGGUGUCUGGUGCUGGCUGAGGAGCUGGUGGGCGCAGGGGCUGUGAGAGGAGGGGCGCGUGUGCCCCGGAGGUGGGAGGACCCCAGCCCGCCCCAGACACAGCGAGGGAGGCUGAAGGGGUGCGAGGAGCGGGUCAGGCCUGCGUGCUGGCCGUCCAUGGUCCAUGGUAAACAUGCGGCGAUCAGCAUUGGCGGGGGCACGUCUUCCGCCUGGGCCAAUCUGUACGGCCCGGAGGGGAGGCGGGGGCAGGUCAGCCGAGUGACCUCGGCGUCCUGAGUCCCUGGCAUGGGGCAUGGACAGGGGUCCCCGGAGGCUGGGCGCCACAGCAGGCGGGCUGGGAAGCGCCCGCCCUGUGCGGUCUCCUGCCCUAACCAGGGCACGGAGCACCUGCCCUGCAGGGGGCGCUGCUGUGCAGGGGGGCAUUGGGGGCGUGCGUGUCACACUCCACUCGGUUCCGGCCACAGACACGGGGCCUGGCGGGCGCUCGAAAGCCGGGGCCUGUGCUCGGGGAAUGGGCAUGAAGUCGGAGCCAGUGGAGGUGGCGCAGGGGAGUCGGCGGGGUGGGCCUCGCAGGGCGUGACCGCCCCGCGGCCGUCCUGGCGGCGGCUCAGUCUACGUGGUGACCCCGAGCUCCCCAGUUUCCAGGAUUGGGGAGAAAGCUGCCUGGGAGCCAGUGUGGACCGGGCACGCGACGGAGCGCGUCGCGCCCGAGGAAGGGGAGGCGGCCAGCGUCCUCGGCCUGUGGGAUCCCGGGGCAGGCGGCCGCCUCGGGCCCCCGCGCCCCAAGUCCUGUCCCGUGGCGGGGGGCUGAGCUCCGGCGAGAAGGGAGGCCACACCGGGGUGGCCACGUCCGGCGCGAGGCGGGAGGGGAAUGCGCCGCACCUGCGCGGGCCAGGGCGCCGCCGCGGGCUGAGACCGGGCGCACCUGGCGUCGGUGCGCAGCGUGACGUGGGGACGAGGCGCCCCUACCCGAGCUCGGCGCUGGGAAGUGGGGUCCACACCGCCGUCCUCACUCGCGCUGCCCAGCAGCUCCCUUUGCUGUCCUCACGGGCCAGGAUCCCACCGGGCCGCAGCCGCCCCUGCCGCCCUCCUGGGGCUCCCCGGGCAGCGCCACGGUCCCGCGCUCGGCCGCGCCCAGCUCCAGCAGCCGCGCCCGCAGCGCCUCGCGCUCGGCCUGCAGCUCCCGGCUCGCCCGGGCCACGGCUCGCUCCGCCUCCCGCAGCGCCCGGUGACCCGCGCUCCAGGGCGCGCUCGCCCCGCGCCACGGCCGCCUCGCGCCGCUCCAGCUCGCGCUCGCGCCGGCUGCCACGCAUGGCCAGCGCGCCCAUCUGCUCCAGCAGGCGCGCCCAGUCGCCCUCGGCGCGCUCGGCCGCGGCUCCCGCUCCGCCUCCCGCUCAGCCAGCUCCGCGGGGCGUCAGAUGGCGGGCACGGAGCCUGUAG